UAUCCGUAGGUGAACCUGCGGAAGGAUCAUUAUUGUAUAACCGAGGUGCGAGGGCUGUCGCUGACCCGAAAGGUCGUGCACGCCCGAGUGCCCUCACACACAUCCCUCUCACCCCUAUGUGCACCACCGCGUGGGUCCCCCUUUGGCUUGUUCGGAGGGGGGCUUACGUUUUCACACUAACUUUGUAUGCAGUGUAGAAUGUAUUUUUUGUUUUUGCGAUCACGCAAUCAAUACAACUUUCAACAACGGAUCUCUUGGCUCUC
Molecule: unclassified non-coding RNA, 263 nt
Filed under: plant metagenome
Description: partial contains small subunit ribosomal RNA, internal transcribed spacer 1, and 5.8S ribosomal RNA
Source: RNAcentral